Molecule: long non-coding RNA, 239 nt
Organism: Rana temporaria (common frog)
Lineage: Eukaryota; Metazoa; Chordata; Amphibia; Anura; Ranidae
Exons: 3
Source: RefSeq, a predicted model, not a curated record
GCGCGCACGCAGGCGGGCUAUACUUUGCGUACUGUUUCCAUGCAGUAAGUCUCGCGGUACAUCCUGCUAGGUGUUAUCUUGAGCCGCGGUUGUACUUUGAGCUGGUGUGUGAGGAAGGUGAGGAGACGGCGGCGGUAUAUCGAUGCACAGCAUUGAUUCCCUGCAAUCCUACAGCUGUAUCCUCUAAGGCUUAUUUCAACCAAGGUUCCAUAGGGCUGGCUGUGUGUUGGAAAAAUGUC